CCCUGCUCCACUUGUCUUAAGGUCUCCUCUCAAGUCAGGAACACAUUUGAAAGAUCUGGAAAAGACCCUUGAGUGCUGCAGUCCAGCUGCAAAGCCUAUUUCAUGUAUGCACAAGAGUAGCUGAAAUCCUAUUUGUACCUGGAGAAAUGUAAAGGUAUACCUGUGGAAGUUCACAGGGAGUUAUGCCCUGACGGUCCAUAUGGCUGAUUGUACAGUACAACUAGUUGAUAGAACAAAUACCGUAAUGAUGCAUCUGCAGAACUGCUUCCUUGAUACAUCUUUUGCCUUGGUGCAAAAUUAUACACAACAGGAUUUUGGCCAGUGGGUUGUGACAGAGCUGAGAGGAACAGCCGGGAAAUUAAUGAGGUCAUCAGCUUCCAGAAUCCCAGGUGCCAAACAUGCUGAAUAAAUUGCUCUUAAUAGCUGAGCUAACAUCUAACAAUCAAUAGAGCAAUUUCACCACAUCCACCUAAUUUACAGAUGCAAGCUGUUACUAAACCAAGAUGGGAACCAAGAUUCAAAGGCUCACCGUGUCCCCAAAUAAUCCUGCUGUGCCAGACUAUGGACCAGGAGCCUUCAUUAGGUAUUAGUGAACCAAUUUAGAUUAAUUAGAAACAAAAGACACACAAAUUAGCCAUGGCUUAAGAGACAGAAAUUCAUAUAGAAAAGUGCAAAGGAAGAUUCUAACAUCCAGCGAAAAACAGUUUGAAGAAGUGGCUCCACAGCUGUCAUAACAGUGGAUUUAUCCAUGCCAUUAAGCAGCAACCUGUCCUAAUCUAUGCAACAAUCUUACACCAUGCACACCUGCAAAGGCUGAAAAAGGUUAAAAACCAAGGAAAAGUAGCUGUGACAUCAGUGGUAAUGCUACUGAUGACUCAAAGGUAUCUGCAAAUCAGGUUGUUUGAGGGAUUUUUAAACACCCACCAACAACUUUCUUCAUUCUCUCCCCUGAUCGCUUGCUCUCCAGCUGGCCAUGAGGAAGAGUUGAUCCUAGGGUAAUCCCAAAACAAUGGGAGGUGAGGGAAAAGAAGAUGCGAAAAGAGUUUGAGCUAAAGUAAAGGUGUGACUAAACAGACGGAAAAAUUCAAAUUGACCUGCAGUGAAGUCACACCUGGGAAGUCAGGUUUCCCCAGGUAAAUUUGCAUUAACUGGCCACACAGAGAGAAAUAGGGAAAACUCCCAAAGCCCUUUGUUUGCAGGCUGCUAAAGUAGCUCUCCUGCAGUUUCUUCAUUUGCAGA
This is a non-coding RNA of Pogona vitticeps (central bearded dragon), 1239 nucleotides long. The record is from RefSeq and is a predicted model, not a curated record. NCBI's taxonomy places the organism in Eukaryota, Metazoa, Chordata, Lepidosauria, Squamata, Agamidae.